GACGAACGCUGGCGGCGUGCUUAACACAUGCAAGUCGAACGGAAAGGCCCUGCUUUUGUGGGGUGCUCGAGUGGCGAACGGGUGAGUAACACGUGAGUAACCUGCCCAUGACUUUGGGAUAACUUCAGGAAACUGGGGCCAAUACCGGAUAGGAGCUCCUGCUGCAUGGUUGGGGUUGGAAAGUUUCGGCGGUUGGGGAUGGACUCGCGGCUUAUCAGCUUGUUGGUGGGGUAGUGGCUUACCAAGGCUUUGACGGGUAGCCGGCCUGAGAGGGUGACCGGCAACAUUGGGAGUGUGAUACGGCACAGACUCCUACGGAAGGAAGCAGUGGGGAAUAUUGCACAAUGGGCGGAAGCCGGAUGCGGCAAGGCCGCGUGCGGGAUGACGACCUUCGGGGUGUAGACCGCUUUGUCCUGUGACGAAGCGUGAGUGACGGUAAUGGGUAAGAAAGCACCGGCUAACUACGUG
Molecule: ribosomal RNA, 468 nt
Filed under: uncultured bacterium
Lineage: Bacteria
Description: partial 16S ribosomal RNA
Rfam family: Bacterial small subunit ribosomal RNA
Source: RNAcentral